Alligator sinensis (Chinese alligator) is the source of this 545-nucleotide non-coding RNA. The record is from the annotation of a RefSeq genome assembly. Lineage: Eukaryota; Metazoa; Chordata; Crocodylia; Alligatoridae.
GCCGUUCUCAGCUCUGGGGGUUUAAGGGAGACUCAGAGGGUCCCAGCCAGGGACCCAUUUGUGUCAGGAAGUUGAACCAGUCAGGACUUGUCACCAUGGCCUGUGCCCUGCUCCUCCUGGUGCUGAUGACGUGCUGCUCAGGGGUCUGGUCACAGCCUGUGGUGACUCAGGAGCCUGCGAUGUCCGUGUCCCCAGGAGGGACUGUCACUCUGUCCUGCAGCCUGAGCACCGGAGCCAUCACCUCCAGCAACUAUCCUGGCUGGCUCCAGCAGAAACCUGGCUCUCCCCCUCGGUUGCUUAUAUACAACACCAACAGCAGGCCCUCGGAGAUCCCCGCUCGGUUCUCGGGGUCCAUAUCUGGUCAGAAGGCCACCUUGACCAUCACGGGGGUCCAAGCUGACGAUGAUGCAGAUUAUUACUGUUCAGUGUGGACUGGGAGUGCUCAGCACAGUGAUACAGUCAGAUGGGGAAGUGUGACUAAAACUCUCAAUGCUCUGACUCCUCUGACCAAUGGAAAUAAUAGAAACAAAUUAAUAGAAAAUUAG